CUACGGAGGGUGCAAGCGUUACUCGGAAUCACUGGGCGUAAAGGACGCGUAGGCGGGUUGGCAAGUCAGAUGUGAAAUCCUACAGCUUAACUGUAGAACUGCAUUUGAAACUGCUAACCUAGAGUAUGGGAGGGGGAGAUGGAAUUAGUGGUGUAGGGGUAAAAUCCGUAGAUAUCACUAGGAAUACCGAAAGCGAAGGCGAUCUCCUGGAACAUAACUGACGCUAAGGCGUGAAAGCGUGGGGAGCAAACAGGAUUAGAAACCCUAGUAGUCC
Molecule: ribosomal RNA, 274 nt
Filed under: uncultured bacterium
Lineage: Bacteria
Description: partial 16S ribosomal RNA
Rfam family: Bacterial small subunit ribosomal RNA
Source: RNAcentral